This 71-nucleotide transfer RNA is filed under the name Loxodonta africana (African savanna elephant). It matches the Rfam family "tRNA". From Rfam's summary of the family: Transfer RNA (tRNA) molecules are approximately 80 nucleotides in length. Their secondary structure includes four short double-helical elements and three loops (D, anti-codon, and T loops). The record is from Rfam by way of RNAcentral. Lineage: Eukaryota; Metazoa; Chordata; Mammalia; Proboscidea; Elephantidae.
GCAGUGGUGGUUCCAUAGUAGAAUUCUUGCCUUCCAUGUGGGAGACCUGGGUUCCAUUCCCGGCCGGUGCA